Molecule: non-coding RNA, 26 nt
Filed under: Cricetulus griseus (Chinese hamster)
Lineage: Eukaryota; Metazoa; Chordata; Mammalia; Rodentia; Cricetidae
Source: RNAcentral
AAUUAGAGAAGUUGAUGAUUGACAGG